GCAGUGGGGAAUAUUGCACAAUGGGCGAAAGCCUGAUGCAGCCAUGCCGCGUGUAUGAAGAAGGCCUUCGGGUUGUAAAGUACUUUCAGUUGUGAGGAAGGGGGUGUCGUUAAUAGCGGCAUCUCUUGACGUUAGCAACAGAAGAAGCACCGGCUAACUCCGUGCCAGCAGCCGCGGUAAUACGGAGGGUGCGAGCGUUAAUCGGAAUUACUGGGCGUAAAGCGCAUGCAGGUGGUUCAUUAAGUCAGAUGUGAAAGCCCGGGGCUCAACCUCGGAACUGCAUUUGAAACUGGUGAACUAGAGUACUGUAGAGGGGGGUAGAAUUUCAGGUGUAGCGGUGAAAUGCGUAGAGAUCUGAAGGAAUACCAGUGGCGAAGGCGGCCCCCUGGACAGAUACUGACACUCAGAUGCGAAAGCGUGGGGAGCAAACAGGAUUAGAUACCCUGGUAGUCCACGCCGUAAACGAUGUCUACUUGGAGGUUGUGGCCUUGAGCCGUGGCUUUCGGAGCUAACGCGUUAAGUAGACCGCCUGGGGAGUACGGUCGCAAGAUUAAAACUCAAAUGAAUUGACGGGGGCCCGCACAAGCGGUGGAGCAUGUGGUUUAAUUCGAUGCAACGCGAAGAACCUUACCUACUCUUGACAUCCAGAGAAGCCAGCGGAG
RNAcentral lists this ribosomal RNA (662 nucleotides) under Vibrio sp. RNAcentral's name for it is "bacterial SSU rRNA". It matches the Rfam family "Bacterial small subunit ribosomal RNA", at positions 351 to 1005 of the family's 1533-position model. Lineage: Bacteria; Pseudomonadati; Pseudomonadota; Gammaproteobacteria; Vibrionales; Vibrionaceae. The record is from RNAcentral.